RNAcentral lists this transfer RNA (82 nucleotides) under Pajaroellobacter abortibovis. It matches the Rfam family "tRNA". From Rfam's summary of the family: Transfer RNA (tRNA) molecules are approximately 80 nucleotides in length. Their secondary structure includes four short double-helical elements and three loops (D, anti-codon, and T loops). Further hydrogen bonds mediate the characteristic L-shaped molecular structure. tRNAs have two regions of fundamental functional importance: the anti-codon, which is responsible for specific mRNA codon recognition, and the 3' end, to which the tRNAs corresponding amino acid is attached (by aminoacyl-tRNA synthetases). tRNAs cope with the degeneracy of the genetic code in two manners: having more than one tRNA (with a specific anti-codon) for a particular amino acid; and 'wobble' base-pairing, i.e. permitting non-standard base-pairing at the 3rd anti-codon position. Lineage: Bacteria; Pseudomonadati; Myxococcota; Polyangiales; Polyangiaceae. The record is from Rfam by way of RNAcentral.
GCACGGGUGGCGAAAUUGGCAGACGCAGUGGAUUUAGGUUCCACCGCCGCAAGGCGUAAGGGUUCAACUCCCUUCCCGUGCA